GAUGAACGCUAGCGGCAGGCUUAAUACAUGCAAGUCGUGGGGCAGCAUGAGUGUAGCAAUACAUUUGAUGGCGACCGGCAAACGGGUGCGGAACACGUACACAACCUUCCUUCAAGUGGGGAAUAGCCCAGGGAAACUUGGAUUAAUACCCCGUAAUAUUAUGGAGUGGCAUCACUUUAUAAUUAUAGCUCCGGCGCUUGAUGAUGGGUGUGCGCCUGAUUAGGUAGUUGGCGGGGUAACGGCCCACCAAGCCUUCGAUCAGUAACUGGUGUGAGAGCACGACCAGUCACACGGGCACUGAGACACGGGCCCGACUCCUACGGGAGGCAGCAGUAAGGAAUAUUGGUCAAUGGACGCAAGUCUGAACCAGCCAUGCCGCGUGAAGGAUGAAGGCCCUCUGGGUUGUAAACUUCUUUUAUCUGGGAAGAAAUUCUACUUUUUCUAAAGUGG
Molecule: ribosomal RNA, 450 nt
Filed under: uncultured bacterium
Lineage: Bacteria
Description: bacterial SSU rRNA
Rfam family: Bacterial small subunit ribosomal RNA
Source: RNAcentral